Molecule: non-coding RNA, 714 nt
Organism: Python bivittatus (Burmese python)
Lineage: Eukaryota; Metazoa; Chordata; Lepidosauria; Squamata; Pythonidae
Source: RefSeq, a predicted model, not a curated record
UUCAAUCAGACUUAGCUUUUGCCUCAACACCCCCCUCCUUUUUUGUUGUUCUGAACUGAACAGUUGUUUAUGUUGUGGAGACAACAUCCUUAUCGUUUCAGCUUGAAGGCUCCAGAGACCACUACUUUUUUCACCAUCAUGAAGCUUCUUUCUCUCUACCUUUUUGCUCUCCUGGCAGCUACAGCAAAGUCCUUAAACUGUUAUGAAUCUGGGACAUCUCAAGUUUGUACCAGUGGCAAAUGCUUUUCACAAGAAACAGAAAAUAACAUUGGUAAGUGCAUCCUGGGAAGGUAAGAAUGUUAAUAUUUUGCAGAUUCCCAAAUAUCCUUUGCAACUCAAGGCCUGUUGGGUGCGGUUUUUUUGGCCUGUUUAUAUCCCAGAGCCAUUAAAAAUACCUCUGAUAACCCAAGUGUUGCUAGUUACGGUUCUACUGCCACUUUUUUUUUUUAUAAAUCUUUAUUGGCUUACAACAUUUAACACAAACAAAUACCUAACAAACAUAAAAUGAGAAGAGCAAAUACAAAUAGAAAAAGAAUAAGAAAAAACCCUAAAACCCCCUUUUCUUUCUUUUUUUUUGUGGCUGUGUGGUGUUAGACUUUAGGGUUUUUUCUACUGCCACUUUCCAGCUGGAAGAAUAAUAGUCAGUAAAACCUGAAGGCAAUAAAGCUGUUGAGAAAAACUGGGUCUUCCAGUGUGGAUCUCAAAAAAUUCAUU